RNAcentral lists this ribosomal RNA (495 nucleotides) under uncultured bacterium. RNAcentral describes it as "partial 16S ribosomal RNA". It matches the Rfam family "Bacterial small subunit ribosomal RNA", at positions 28 to 507 of the family's 1533-position model. The record is from RNAcentral.
GACGAACGCUGGCGGCGUGCCUAAUACAUGCAAGUAGAACGCUGAAGGAGGAGCUUGCUUCUCUGGAUGAGUUGCGAACGGGUGAGUAACGCGUAGGUAACCUGCCUGGUAGCGGGGGAUAACUAUUGGAAACGAUAGCUAAUACCGCAUAAGAGUAGAUGUUGCAUGACAUUUGCUUAAAAGGUGCAAUUGCAUCACUACCAGAUGGACCUGCGUUGUAUUAGCUAGUUGGUGGGGUAACGGCUCACCAAGGCGACGAUACAUAGCCGACCGGAGAGGGUGAUCGGCCACGCUGGGACUGAGACACGGCCCAGACUCCUACGGGAGGCAGCAGUAGGGAAUCUUCGGCAAUGGACGGAAGUCUGACCGAGCAACGCCGCGUGAGUGAAGAAGGGUUUCGGAUCGUAAAGCUCUGUUGUAAGAGAAGAACGAGUGUGAGAGUGGAAAGUUCACACUGUGACGGUAUCUUACCAGAAAGGGACGGCUAACUACGUG